Molecule: ribosomal RNA, 481 nt
Filed under: uncultured bacterium
Lineage: Bacteria
Description: partial 16S ribosomal RNA
Rfam family: Bacterial small subunit ribosomal RNA
Source: RNAcentral
GAUGAACGCUGGCGGCGUGCUUAACACAUGCAAGUCGAACGAAACACCUUAUUUGAUUUUCUUCGGAACUGAAGAUUUGGUGAUUGAGUGGCGGACGGGUGAGUAACGCGUGGGUAACCUGCCCUGUACAGGGGGAUAACAGUCAGAAAUGACUGCUAAUACCGCAUAAGACCACAGCACCGCAUGGUGCAGGGGUAAAAACUCCGGUGGUACAGGAUGGACCCGCAUCUGAUUAGCUGGUUGGUGAGGUAACGGCUCACCAAGGCGACGAUCAGUAGCCGGCUUGAGAGAGUGAACGGCCACAUUGGGACUGAGACACGGCCCAAACUCCUACGGGAGGCAGCAGUGGGGAAUAUUGCACAAUGGGGGAAACCCUGAUGCAGCGACGCCGCGUGAGUGAAGAAGUAUUUCGGUAUGUAAAGCUCUAUCAGCAGGGAAGAAAAUGACGGUACCUGACUAAGAAGCCCCGGCUAACUACGUG